UGAUUCGAAUUUACGUUCUUGGUCACUG
This 28-nucleotide small RNA is filed under the name Bombyx mori (domestic silkworm). RNAcentral's name for it is "ovarian small RNA-33060". The record is from RNAcentral. Lineage: Eukaryota; Metazoa; Arthropoda; Insecta; Lepidoptera; Bombycidae.